This is a long non-coding RNA of Homo sapiens (human), 3061 nucleotides long. The record is from Ensembl. NCBI's taxonomy places the organism in Eukaryota, Metazoa, Chordata, Mammalia, Primates, Hominidae.
UUUUUCUUUUUUUUUUUUUUUUUGUGAGACAGUUUUACUUUGUUUCCCAGGCUGGAGAGCAGUGGCACCAUCUCGGCUCACUGCAAUCUCCGCCUCCCAGGUUCAAGCAAUUCUCCUGCCUCAGCCUCCUGAGAAGCUGGGAUUACAGGUGCGUGCACCACCACGCCUAGCUAAUUUUGUAUUUUUAUUAGAGAUGGGGUUUUACUAUAUUGGCCUGGCUAGUCUCAAACUCCUGACCUCAGGUGUGAUCUGCCCAUCUUGGCCUCCCAAAGUGCUGGGAUUACCGGCGUGAGCCCCUGUUCCCAGCUUGAAUUUUCAUCUUAAAAAAGACCUUAUGUUGUCCUAUGUGCUACAUAUUUCAUUACCAGUGUACCUUUCCUGCCAUGUCUCAUUCUAGAUGUGUCUCUUCGUUGUUUGCAGGGGAGGAGUUGUGUGGGGUAAUGACAAUCUCGGACUCUCCAAGAGAACAGGAUAGUGAAUCACAGGUAGACGGAAACCUCCAAAUCCUUUUUUUUACAUUACAGAUUCUAGUUAUUUAAUUUGUUAGCUUUUUUUUUUUUUUGCUGCCAGAUAAACUGACAAGGGGCAGAAACUUACUGAAAAUUUUGAGAACUGUAGAAAAAAUUCACACAAAAAAAGUUAAAAAUGUGACUUAAUUUUUAAAAUGUGACUCCUUCAGUUUUCUAUACAUUUGAAUUUUAUUUUAAGACCCGAGAUGAAGAUACUGGAAUAGUUGGAGGGUGGAGGGGGUAAUAAGCCUCCUACCAAAUCUUCUAGCAGCCGUGCCAGCCUGGAUGGGGGAGUGGUUUGGAGAAAGAGUCUAGCAGGAAUGGAAAAAGCCAAGCCUUUUCCUUUAGCUUAAUGUUUCAAAAAUGCUUCUCCUUGGUGAUGAGGUGUAAGCAGCAAACUCUCACAAUCUAGCCAUCUCUGUGUUUUUGUCUCAGUGAACCAGCAGAAACAUGUAAUUUUUAGGCAUAAUAACUUCUCUUUAUGUAAUCAACAAUCCACCAAAUACAUCCUGACUUAUUAGACGAUCUGCUCCUCCUCAUGGUAGGAAGAAGAGGAAAUCCUGAAUAUCUGAAGUAGGCUUGAGAGAGAUUAUUCACUAGUGUGGGCUCCUGAGAAAAUUACCAGACCUCUUUCAUCUGAAAGUCAAGGAUUAACCCAAGUAAUGUGGUACUUUCUAAACAGUAUAGCAUGCUACAAGCAUUGUCCCCACUGAAGAGCUAAAAACACUGUCUUAAUAUCUUAGUAAAUCUUAGUAUCUUUUUCCUUUUUUAAUGUUUUAUUGAGACAGGGGUCUUGCUACGUUGCCAAGCCAGGUCUCGAACUCCUGGCCUCAAGCAAUCCUCCUGCCUUGGCCUCCCAAAGUCUGGGAUUAUAGGUACUAGCCACCGUGCCUGGCCAAAUCUUAGUGUCUUAGUAUCUCAGUAAAUACACUUAAUAUGCUUAAUAAAUACUUAGAACACAACUGUAAAUAAUAAAAACUUAACAUACUUGGUACAAACUUAAUCAAAUAUUUAAUAUCUUAGAGUUAACAUAUUAAGAUAACAGGUUAUUUGCCCAAAGUCAUAAGGUGAAGUAGAGGCAGGAAUUGGGCUUCCUAGCCUGGAGUCCUUUUCUCCACCUCAAGGGGCUACGCAGACCUCCAACUAAAUGCUGAGUUUCUCGGUACUGAAACAGCCCUAGGAGAAUGAAUAGGACACAGCGCCAUCCCUGGCCAGUACUAUCAGGUACUACAGUUUGGAUACCAUAACCUACAGUGUAGCCAGGACCUCCCUGACCAGCCCAUCUCUUCCCAGCAGCCACCGUGGUCCUGAGAGCUGGGUUAAGCCAUCACCUUUAAAAUCCUGGGACCACACUGUGCAAUGCAUGAAUGGGAGACCCUCAGCUGUUAGCCACGAAGCACAGAUGAGUUCAGUAGACAGCCAAGAGAAUCACAAGUCAUGGCGUGGGGGCAGCCAAAGACAUUCAUUCAUUCAGUGACUCUUGAUUGAGCUCUCACAAGUUAAUACACCGUAGUCCCUGGCACAGAUGUUAUGAACCUCAAGGAGUCUUCUGUAUAGUAUGGGAAGCAGAAAUGAGAACAAACAAUAAUACAAUGUGAUGACAACAAUAUUAAUAUAUGUGCAAAGUGCUCAGGAGGCCCAGGUAUUGGGACACUGACUUUACAACGAUGGGGCAGAAGUCUGAGAGGUCCUGUGUGAAGGAAAUAGGUAGAAACUAGUUCUUCGAGGAAACGACCCCGAGUUGGGGUGGUGCAAUGGAAAGCAAGUCCUCUUACUAGGGAGUUGUUUGUUUACAUCUCUAGUGUUUGACCCACAGAGUCAGCUCCUGGGUUGGGUUUUUGUUUUCCAGACUUUGGACAAAGUUUACCAAAUGAAAAGCAAACCUCGGGGAUACUGUCUGAUCAUCAACAAUCACAAUUUUGCAAAAGCACGGGAGAAAGUGCCCAAACUUCACAGCAUUAGGGACAGGAAUGGAACACACUUGGAUGCAGGUACAGUAGAACCCAAAAGAGAAAAGUAAAAUAUUUCUUAUGCCUAUUUUUUUUUAAAUCAAAAGGGAGAGAACAAAAGCUAUACCAAAAGGGCCAUGUUUCAAGAAAAUGGAUUUAAACAUAUUUCCCUGUGGAGGUAAAGAACAUUCUUAUACAUUUAUCAGUUUCCUGCUUUUUUUAAAAAUUAAUUUUUUAAAUAAAAGUAAUGUAUGUAUAAAUAUAAAAUAUCAAAUCUUACUAAAAGACAUAAUGAAAAGCAGUAAUAAGCUUUGUUUUGAAUUCAGCUAAAUGCAUAGCGCUUCUGUGGAAUGUAUUAGGCGAUGAAAUUGCUGUGGUAUCAAAGUUCUUAUAGAGGCUGCAUUUUUACAGGUUGGGCUGUUAAGUGCAGCAGAAAUUGUGGGUUCUUAACAGAAAUAGCAUUUUCAAGUAUUAAAUAUUAAACUGGUUAGCAAUUCUUUUGCUCAGCCAAAUUAAGCUAAGAUCAAGAACUUACAAGUUAAAUGAAAAAACAAUUUGUAGUAUGUGAAUAUAAAAAGUGACUACAACAACAAAAAAUAAAAA